Molecule: ribosomal RNA, 158 nt
Filed under: Phymatotrichopsis omnivora
Lineage: Eukaryota; Fungi; Ascomycota; Pezizomycetes; Pezizales; Rhizinaceae
Description: 5.8S ribosomal RNA
Rfam family: 5.8S ribosomal RNA
About the family: 5.8S ribosomal RNA (5.8S rRNA) is a component of the large subunit of the eukaryotic ribosome. It is transcribed by RNA polymerase I as part of the 45S precursor that also contains 18S and 28S rRNA. Functionally, it is thought that 5.8S rRNA may be involved in ribosome translocation.
Source: RNAcentral
AAACUUUCAACAACGGAUCUCUUGGUUCUCGCAUCGAUGAAGAACGCAGCAAAAUGCGAUAAGUAAUGUGAAUUGCAGAAUUCAGUGAAUCAUCGAAUCUUUUGAACGCACAUUGCGCCCUCCGGUAUUCCAGAGGGCAUGCCUGUUCGAGUGUCAGC